This is a long non-coding RNA of Pistacia vera, 629 nucleotides long. RefSeq lists it as uncharacterized. Lineage: Eukaryota; Viridiplantae; Streptophyta; Magnoliopsida; Sapindales; Anacardiaceae. The record is from RefSeq and is a predicted model, not a curated record. The transcript is spliced from 3 exons.
GUGUAAAUUUAUUUAAAUGGCUCCUGACAAAUGUUAUUUAAUUAGGUGGUGGAAAACUUUAGAUGUUGAGAAUAAGCCACCUUUUGCAAGAGAUAGAGUGGUAGAGCUAUACUUUUGGGUAAUGGGAGUGUAUUUUGAGCCUGAUUAUGGGUUGGCUAGGAGGAUUCUGUGCAAAGUGAUUGCCAUGUGUUCCAUUCUUGAUGACACCUAUGAUGUACAGGGUACAAUUGAAGAACUUGAGCUUUUUACUGCCGCAAUGGCGCAAUUGAGAGAUGGGAUGUCGGCGCUAUGCAUCAACUGCCAGAGUAUAUGAAAAUUAUUUAUGGGGCUCUCCUUGACGUUUACGGAGAAAUUGAGAAAGAUAUGGCCUUCAAAGGAAAAUUAUACCGCCUUGAUUACGCAAAAGAUGUGAUGAAGAUUUUAGGGAGAAAUUUCUUCAACGAAGCUAAAUGGUGUGACAAAAAAUAUGUACCAACAAUUGAAGAGUAUUUGUCUGUUGCAUUACUUACCAGUGGUCACCUAACUUCAGUUGCCACAUCAUUUGUGGGGAUGGGAGAUGUAGUAACCGAAGAAUCAUUUGAAUGGGUACUCAGCAAUCCCAAAAUCGUUAAGGCCUCCGCAAUAAUUGG